AUGUGGCGCGGCUGUGUCUCGCGCGGCCUCUCCAAGGCCAAGGCCUCAGCCUCUAGGCUCUUCUCCACGACCUCGUCCUCGUACACGGUGGUGGACCACUCGUAUGACGCGGUGGUGGUGGGCGCAGGAGGCGCAGGUCUCCGGGCGGCCAUCGGGCUCUCGGAGCACGGCUUCAGCACCGCCUGCAUCACCAAGCUCUUCCCCACGCGGUCGCAUACCGUCGCAGCUCAGGGAGGCAUAAAUGCUGCUCUAGGAAACAUGAGCGAAGAUGACUGGAGAUGGCAUAUGUAUGAUACGGUCAAGGGAAGCGACUGGCUUGGUGGACAGGCCUACCGAUGUGCAUGUGCUGCUGACAGGACAGGGCAUGCUAUGCUCCACACGUUAUAUGGUCAAGCCAUGAAGCAUAACACUCAGUUUUUUGUAGAAUAUUUUGCACUAGACCUUCUCAUGGACAAUGAAGGCAACUGCCAGGGAGUCAUUGCCUUAAACAUGGAGGAUGGUACGCUUCACCGUUUCCGUGCAACAAAUACAAUUCUAGCCACCGGGUCGGGUUACGGCAGGGCCUACUUCUCAGCAACCUCAGCUCACACAUGUACUGGAGAUGGCAAUGCCAUGGUUGCACGUGCUGGUUUACCUCUUCAAGAUCUUGAGUUCGUCCAGUUCCAUCCUACAGGCAUAUAUGGUGCUGGAUGCCUCAUCACUGAAGGAUCCCGUGGUGAGGGUGGUAUUCUUAGGAACAGUGAAGGUGAGCGUUUCAUGGAACGAUAUGCUCCUACUGCAAAGGAUCUUGCUUCUCGUGAUGUUGUUUCAAGAUCCAUGACAAUGGAAAUUAGAGAAGGACGUGGUGUUGGGCCAUUGAAGGAUCACAUCUAUUUGCAUCUUAACCACCUGCCUCCUGAAGUUCUCAAGGAAAGACUUCCUGGUAUAUCUGAAACUGCUGCUAUUUUUGCUGGUGUUGACGUCACCAAGGAGCCCAUUCCAGUUUUGCCUACCGUUCACUACAACAUGGGUGGGAUCCCAACAAACUACCAUGGGGAGGUUGUAGAUAUCAAGGGUGAUAAUCCAGAUACUGUUAUUCCUGGUUUAAUGGCUGCUGGAGAAGCAGCGUGCGCGUCUGUUCAUGGUGCAAAUCGUUUGGGUGCAAAUUCACUUCUUGACAUAGUUGUGUUUGGUAGAGCUUGUGCAAACAGGGUAGCUGAGAUUUCGAAACCAGGUGACAAGCAGAAACUUCUGGAAAAAGGUGCAGGGGAGAAGACUAUAGCAUGGUUGGACAAGCUGAGAAAUGCAAAUGGUUCAUUGCCAACUUCCAAGAUCCGUCUCAACACGCAACGUAUUAUGCAAAAUAAUGCUGCAGUUUUCCGUACACAAGAAACGCUUGAAGAAGGUUGUCAACUGAUCAGCAAAGCAUGGGAAAGUUAUCAUGACGUGAAGAUCAGUGACCGAAGCCUCAUAUGGAAUUCAGACUUGAUAGAAACCAUAGAGCUGGAAAAUCUGUUGAUAAAUGCAUGCAUAACUAUGUAUUCAGCAGAGGCUCGGAAGGAAAGCAGAGGAGCUCAUGCUCGUGAAGAUUUCACGACAAGAGACGAUGAGCGUUGGAUGAAGCACUCACUGGGGUACUGGGAGAACGAGAAGGUACGAUUGGCAUACAGGCCAGUCCAUAUGAACACAUUGGAUGAUGAAAUCGAGUCGUUCCCACCGAAAGCACGAGUAUACUGA
This 1716-nucleotide ribosomal RNA is filed under the name Triticum aestivum (bread wheat). Its description in RNAcentral is "partial small subunit ribosomal RNA". Lineage: Eukaryota; Viridiplantae; Streptophyta; Magnoliopsida; Poales; Poaceae. The record is from RNAcentral.